This 253-nucleotide ribosomal RNA is filed under the name uncultured bacterium. RNAcentral's name for it is "partial 16S ribosomal RNA". It matches the Rfam family "Bacterial small subunit ribosomal RNA", at positions 524 to 776 of the family's 1533-position model. The record is from RNAcentral.
UACGUAGGGCGCAAGCGUUGUCCGGAAUUAUUGGGCGUAAAGAGCUCGUAGGCGGUUUGUCGCGUCUGUCGUGAAAGCUUGGGGCUUAACCCCAAGUCUGCGGUGGAUACGGGCAGACUAGAGGCAGGUAGGGGAGAACGGAGUUCCCGGUGUAGCGGUGAAAUGCGUAGAUAUCGGGAGGAAUACCAGUGGCGAAGGCGGCUGCCUGGCCUGUUCUUGACGCUGAGGCGCGAAAGCUGGGGGAGCAAACGGG